This 265-nucleotide ribosomal RNA is filed under the name uncultured Eubacteriales bacterium. RNAcentral's name for it is "uncultured Clostridiales bacterium partial 16S ribosomal RNA". It matches the Rfam family "Bacterial small subunit ribosomal RNA", at positions 75 to 339 of the family's 1533-position model. Lineage: Bacteria; Bacillati; Bacillota; Clostridia; Eubacteriales. The record is from RNAcentral.
AGAGCUUGCUUUCUCGAGCGAGUGGCGAACGGGUGAGUAACGCGUGAGGAACCUGCCUUUCAGAGGGGGACAACAGUUGGAAACGACUGCUAAUACCGCAUAAGCGCACAGCUUCGCAUGAAGCAGUGUGAAAAACUCCGGUGGUACAAGAUGGACCCGCGUCUGAUUAGCUGGUUGGUGAGGUAACGGCCCACCAAGUCAACGAUCAGUAGCCGGACUGAGAGGUUGAACGGCCACAUUGGGACUGAGAUACGGCCCAGACUCC